RNAcentral lists this ribosomal RNA (427 nucleotides) under uncultured prokaryote. RNAcentral's name for it is "bacterial SSU rRNA". It matches the Rfam family "Bacterial small subunit ribosomal RNA", at positions 355 to 774 of the family's 1533-position model. The record is from RNAcentral.
UGGGGAAUUUUGGACAAUGGGGGCAACCCUGAUCCAGCCAUGCCGCGUGUCUGAAGAAGGCCUUCGGGUUGUAAAGGACUUUUGUCAGGGAGGAAAUCCCUAAGGUUAAUACCCUUGGGGGAUGACAGUACCUGAAGAAUAAGCACCGGCUAACUACGUGCCAGCAGCCGCGGUAAUACGUAGGGUGCAAGCGUUAAUCGGAAUUACUGGGCGUCAAGCGUGCGCAGGCGGUUUGAAAAGUCAGCUGUGAAAGCCCCGGGCUCAACCUGGGAACUGCUGUUGAAACUCGCAAGCUAGAGUGCGUCAGAGGGGGGUGGAAUUCCACGUGUAGCAGGGAAAUGCGUAGAGAUGUGGAGGAACACCAAUGGCGAAGGCAGCCCCCUGGGAUGACACUGACGCUCAUGCACGAAAGCGUGGGGAGCAAACA